RNAcentral lists this ribosomal RNA (497 nucleotides) under uncultured bacterium. RNAcentral describes it as "partial 16S ribosomal RNA". It matches the Rfam family "Bacterial small subunit ribosomal RNA", at positions 28 to 507 of the family's 1533-position model. The record is from RNAcentral.
GAUGAACGCUGGCGGCGUGCCUAAUACAUGCAAGUCGAGCGAACAGACGAUGAACUUGCUCCUCUGACGUUAGCGGCUGACGGGUGAGUAACACGUGGAUAACCUACCUAUAAGACUGGGAUAACUUCGGGAAACCGGAGCUAAUACCGGAUCAUAUAUUGAACCGCAUGGUUCAAUAGUGAAAGACGGUUUUGCUGUCACUUAUAGAUGGAUCCGCGCCGGAUUAGCUAGUUGGUAAGGUAACGGCCUACCAAGGCAACGAUGCGUAGCCGACCUGAGAGGGUGAUCAGCCACACUGGAACUGAGACACGGUCCAGACUCCUACGGGAGGCAGCAGUAGGGAAUAUUGCGCAAUGGGCGAAAGCCUGACGCAGCAACGCCGCGUGAGUGAUGAAGGUCUUCGGAUCGUAAAACUCUGUUAUUAGGGAAGAAAAAAUGCGGAAGUAACUAUGCACGUCUUGACGGUACCUAAUCAGAAAGCCACGGCUAACUACGUG